This is a long non-coding RNA of Triticum urartu, 2976 nucleotides long. RefSeq lists it as uncharacterized. Lineage: Eukaryota; Viridiplantae; Streptophyta; Magnoliopsida; Poales; Poaceae. The record is from RefSeq and is a predicted model, not a curated record.
CACGCCCCUGACGCCUCGGCCUGGGACUGUCGGCGCUGCCCUGGGGUUGGGGUUGGGGUUGCUUACUGCCGACUCCGACGCCGUGGCCUCCGGUCCAGAUGUUGCUGCCUGCUGGACAUGCAAACUGAAUCCUCCGGCCCGUCCCCGCCAGUGCCGCCUGAGCCCCCGCCCGCACCCGCGAUGGCGGCCUUGUCCGUGGGUACUACCAAGGAGGCCGCAAGAGCCUGUACACUGUCGGCGAGCUGCCGUUCAGUACGAAGGAGUUUGAGGUCACCUUACCUGACAACAAGCCAGGUCCAUCUGAGCAAAGGAGGGAAUGCAAGUUCAAGGGGACCAUCGAGCGCACCAUUCUGGUUAGCCUGCAACAGCUGCAGAUGCUCAUGGCCGGGAUCUCCAUGGACAUGCCGGUGCAGGCGCUGCAGUGAUCAUCAUCCGAACAAAUGCAGAUUUUUUUUACUUUACUGGUUACUGAUUUCAUCAAGUGGAGACCAAGUGAACCAUUUGACGUCUUUCGAUUAUAUGUUCUUUUAUGCACUUGAUCCGUGAAUGAGGCUGAGGCUGGCUUGGGCAGAGACAGUCAGUCGCCUUCUGGAGCUAGAUGGAGAGCUUAUCACCUUCAUAUAUUUAGUGAGAAUGGAAUGUCUUCUUCUUGGUUAUUUUUGCAUUGAAGAUGUUAUUCUACUUAUCAUAUGAUAUUAUGAUACUAAACUCACUCUAAAAAUGUGAACCAUUUGAUUUACCUUUAAGAUUUUCGAAGUUGUUCUAUGUUACAAGAAUAGCAUAAUCCUGGAUACCACCACAAUCUGUCCUUCUAUCAAAGAUCAAGAGUAGACAGAGUAGUCAUAGGUAUCAACUAGAAGUUACAACAACUACUGAGUCUAUGACUGCAAGUUCUGGACCUUGAAGAAAGCAAAUAGAAUCUAGGUAUCUUAGUAGAGCCAAAUUCUUAUGAGUAAAUUACCUUAUACUUUCCUGGACCUGUGUUCCAGAGAACUCAACACAGACUAAUACAUAGUGAUGGACGUUGGAUGAAUUGAUUAAUGUGGAGACCAUAGCUUGGUAUAAAUCAGCGGACUUGCAACCAAGUCUGAACACUUGACGCUAAUCCAGCAACCAUCUUAUCAUGUUUUUCUCAUUUCCUAUCCUUAUGUAGCCACAUUUUUUCUUGACCUUUGCAGGUGCUCGACAUUGUGUUGCGCAACAUUGUGCUCAACGAACGCAAUGGCAUGGGGUAACAACCGCGCUCCGCCCUUUGUGUGGUUAAUUGUUAUCGAUCAUUUUGCAUGCUUUUCUUAUUUGUUGGGGACUUGUUGUCACCUGUGCGCCACACGUUCAUCCUGGUAGGCCAGUCUUUGUUCUCGCAGACCAUUGAGGAACCCAUCAAGUUAGGCCAGGGUAUCGAAGGAUGGAACGGGUUCUGCCAGAGCAUCAUACCUACCUGCAGUGGAUUGUUCCCUCAACAUAGACAUGUCAUCAACGACUUUCGUUUGAGCUGUGUCGCUGACUAAUUUCAUUGGGGAGGUUCUUGACAAGAGAGAUCUCAUUUGUGGCAUUCAUGACUUGACUAUCUUAAGGUAUGCACAUUUUCGGAAUCAAAUGUAUCGCGACCAAGUUGCUGCUGUGGUGGUAUGGUAGGUUUUGUUUUCACAUUCCGCUGCAGAUUAAGAAAGCCCUCAGGGGUGUGAGAGUUGAGGUCGCCCACCGAAUUAUCGACUGGCGAAACCAAGAGUGUGAGGGAGUACUUCAGAGAAACUUACAAGCUGCAACUACCUUGCAAUUUUCUCCCCUGCCUGCAAGUUACAGAGCAGAAACCCAACUAUCUUCCAAUGGAGGUUUGUGCAAAUGGAGUCCAAGUUGCGUUGUGGUGGUAUGGUAAGACAACUCAACUCAUCGGUUGUGGCAAAAUGUUAUCCCUAAAAGUAAUAACUAAUUUGCAUAUAUGCUCUGGCUCUCUGUAUGAAUUAGGUGCCUCCAAAUAAGUUCUCAAAAAAAUAAAAAUACAAAAAUAAGUUGGUUCGGAAUCAGCAUGUGGAUCUUGUUGCAAUUGAUUGCAUCAGGUCUAGCUCGUUUCAUUGUAUUCUCUUUGUUCAUUAUUCAUGCUCUGCUACUUAUUGUCAUUUUUGGCCAAAUAAAACAGUGUGCUCAAGUAACAUUUUAGUUUUUCUUUUUUGCGAAAUAAUAUUUUUGUGGUUAAAACGAAAGAAACCAUUUUAUCACUCCAGUCCACGAGGACACAGAGAAAAAAAACAAAUCCACCAUAAUCUUGUCUUCCUACUUACUUUUACUAAACAAGAAAAAUAAACUACAAAGGAAUCUUCUAAAAAAUAGAUAAAAUAUCAUUUUUCAGAUUGAAAUGUACAACUCAACUUGUCUUUUACUUCUGUUAUGUGCAUGUUCAUCGUGCUGGAUGGUGUUGUACUUGUAAAUACCAGAAUUGCAGGCAAAACAAAGUAAUGGAUGGUCUACAAGAAUCUGGAUGAAUUCAUCUCCAUGGUAAAAUAAGCCAGCCAGCGUGCAUUCCAUUUGGUUGGAAAUAAUAUUGCCUUUGAAAUGUAUGAGUGAUUCUUGGCAUCUGACAUUGCUGAAUCCAACAUUGAUGUUGUCUUGUUACGCAUACCUUUGUAAAUUCUCUUGGGGAGAAAAUGUAUAAAUUGAAAUUUGCAACAUUGCCCCCAAAAUAGAUGAGGUUCACACAUAUAAUUAUGGAUUUGUGUAGUUUAUGAUCUCAGAGUUUUUGAAAGCACCAUUAAUGAUUUCUAUUUGUAUAGAGUAAACAAAAUGGCAUUCAACGCCUUUAAACCUAACUCUCAGUAGUUGUAAGAGCCUGGAAACGUGGUUUUGGACCUCCAAUGCUAACUUGGAAAAUAUGGUACUAUAUCAUAUGAUGACUAUUACCUUGGUUGUUUUUUGUUCUUGUCAUUUUAUCACACGGCCAUCAAGUACUUAUGAUCCAUGCAUACAAGGUGUAUUUGAUUG